Molecule: long non-coding RNA, 346 nt
Organism: Gasterosteus aculeatus aculeatus (three-spined stickleback)
Lineage: Eukaryota; Metazoa; Chordata; Actinopteri; Perciformes; Gasterosteidae
Source: Ensembl
UGAGGUUGUAUGCAUUCUUCCGCUUUGUGACAAGAUGGUUAAAUAGAAUUUCUCAGUGUGUAUAUUUCUGCCUGGCACCUCGUGUAAACUAAAUGACACUUCAAAUGCUUCUCGUUUAAUCCUGCCGAGUCUCAGAGAAAUCUAGUCCACCCCUAAGUACCGACUUCUAUAAUUGCUGCCUGUGUUUUGUCCCCUGCAGUAAACAGUAAGUUGAAGCGCGACGGUACUUCUGUGUGAAGACGCGGCCAACCUCUUCCCCGUGACGCAACCGAGGCGAGACUCGGAGGGCUGCGAUCACAAUAUUUAACACACCCACCGUGGAUGAACCCUCGGAAGAGAAGACGAG